GACGAACGCUGGCGGCGUGCUUAACACAUGCAAGUCGAACGGUAAGGCCCUUCGGGGUACACGAGUGGCGAACGGGUGAGUAACACGUGGGUGAUCUGCCCUGCACUUCGGGAUAAGCCUGGGAAACUGGGUCUAAUACCGGAUAGGACCACUGCCUGCAUGGGUGGUGGUGGAAAGCAUUUGCGGUGUGGGAUGGGCCCGCGGCCUAUCAGCUUGUUGGUGGGGUGAUGGCCUACCAAGGCGACGACGGGUAGCCGGCCUGAGAGGGUGACCGGCCACACUGGGACUGAGAUACGGCCCAGACUCCUACGGGAGGCAGCAGUGGGGAAUAUCGCACAAUGGGCGCAAGCCUGAUGCAGCGACACCGCGUGAGGGAUGACGGCCUUCGGGUUGUAAACCUCUUUCAGCGCCGACGAAGCGCAAGUGACGGUAGGUGCAGAAGAAGGACCGGCCAACCACGUGCCAGCCGCCGCGGUAA
This 478-nucleotide ribosomal RNA is filed under the name uncultured bacterium. RNAcentral's name for it is "partial 16S ribosomal RNA". It matches the Rfam family "Bacterial small subunit ribosomal RNA", at positions 28 to 523 of the family's 1533-position model. The record is from RNAcentral.